CAAUAGCGUAUAUUAAAGUUGUUGCAGUUAAAAAGCUCGUAGUUGGAUUUCUGGUUGAAGCGACCGGUCGGGCGUUGAUUCGUCUGCACUGGAGUCGGUUUUGGCCAUCCUCUAGGAAAGUGCGUCUGGUAUUAAGUUAUCGGGCGUAUGAUCCUGGUCUUUUACUGUGAAAAAAUUAGAGUGUUCAAAGCAGGCCUUCGCCUUGAAUACAUUAGCAUGGAAUAAUAAGAUAGGACUUUGGUCUAUUUUGUUGGUUUGCAGACCGAAGUAAUGAUUAAUAGGGAUAGUUGGGGGUAUUUAUAUUCCGAUGUCAGAGGUGAAAUUCUUAGAUUUUCGGAAGAUAAACUUAUGCGAAAGCAUUUACCAAGGAUGUUUUCAUUA
RNAcentral lists this ribosomal RNA (381 nucleotides) under uncultured eukaryote. RNAcentral describes it as "partial 18S ribosomal RNA". It matches the Rfam family "Eukaryotic small subunit ribosomal RNA", at positions 592 to 975 of the family's 1831-position model. The record is from RNAcentral.